GCAUAAUCAUUUGCCUUCUAAUUAAAGGAUAGAAUGAAUGGAAAAACGAAAUUUCAACUGUAUCAACUAUAUAUAUUAAAAAUUAUACCAAAGGUGAAGAUACCUUUAUUUAAAUGAAAGACAAGAAGACCCUAUAGAGUUUUAGUACAAAAUUAUCUUUACAUAACUUUAGUUGGGGCGACUAAGGAAUAAAAAUCAUCCUAAUAUAAAAAGAUUUAUAAAUCUCAAAACUGAUCCUACAAAGAUUAACAAAAACAACUACCUUAGGGAUAACAGGCUUAUCUUCCUUUUAAGUUCAAAUUUACAGGAAGGUUUGGCACCUCGAUGUUGGCUUAGAGUAACCUAAUAAUGCAAUAGUUAUUAAAGGUUAGUUUGUUCAACUAAUAACCCUCU
RNAcentral lists this ribosomal RNA (393 nucleotides) under Polynoidae sp. 659-4 PB. RNAcentral describes it as "partial 16S ribosomal RNA". It matches the Rfam family "Bacterial large subunit ribosomal RNA", at positions 1959 to 2597 of the family's 2925-position model. Lineage: Eukaryota; Metazoa; Annelida; Polychaeta; Phyllodocida; Polynoidae. The record is from RNAcentral.